UCAUCAUUUUCAACCAGCUUUCAACUAUCCAUUCGGAAGCCUAUUCUGUUAAUUUUGUUGCUUGAUCCACUCAAUUUCAACACAUUUUCUGCAACAGAUCAUGACUCCAAAACUGUAACCAUCUACCUUUUACUGUAACCGGCGGUGUUUUUGAACCACUCUGCUGCCGCAUAUAUGCCCUUUAGUCUAAUAGCAGAUCUAAGAUUUUUUCGGAUAAAUUUAUC
This 224-nucleotide long non-coding RNA is filed under the name Durio zibethinus. RNAcentral's name for it is "long non-coding RNA (DZIB_LNC000392)". Lineage: Eukaryota; Viridiplantae; Streptophyta; Magnoliopsida; Malvales; Malvaceae. The record is from RNAcentral.